CUCCGCUAUGUUUUAUAGCAGGCUUUUUAGCGCUGUAGGAAAAAGCAAACUGAUGUUGCUCAGUGCGUGCUCUGUGCUUUUGCACGGGAGGUGACCGUGAGGGCCAGGACUCAGUUUCUGAGCAGAGACUCGGGCUGCGUCGGUUCUGUUGGCCUGUGGAUACAACGCCGGCCUGACUCAAUGGAGAAUGCUCCAAAUCACAGUCUCUACUUGUAUCAUAAGAUCCCAGCCAGUGCCUGCUGUAAUCGUUUUCUCUGGGAAGUGAUGGCUAGAAAAAACCUUGUGGCUGGUGAUCGCAAAAGACUUUCUGCAGAGAUCUUCGAAGCAGAUGGUUAUGGAUCACCGAGAGCUUCCCAGAAUAACUGGAAAAGGGGCAUGAAAGGUGUUCGGUAGGAUUAGUCCUCCCAAAGAUCACUUUGGAGUAUCGCUUGUCCCAAAUCCCUUCCCAUCAGCAGUCAUUGUCCUGAAUCGUUAUUCUUCUCCAAAAUUCUGGCUCUUGGAUGGAAAUUGGAAUAUACUUUCUCCUUCUUGCAUUUGUUAAUGAAUAUAUCCAGUUUACCCACGAAGCUCUACAUGGCAUGAUAAACUAAUUGCAUGCCAUAUUAUACUUUCCUCAUGCACUGCAGACUGUUUCAGCACUAGGAAGAAUUCACGCAUAACCACAAAUCCUCAAGGGAUGGAAUUCAAGAGAUAUCCAGUGGUCAGGAAUCUCUAGAAACUGAAAGGCUUUUGAGUUAUUUGCUUUUAAGUAGAUGGUUUGUUUUUUAACAAAAUGGAAACUCUUAAUAAAUUUUCAUGUGAUUGAAUACUU
This 811-nucleotide long non-coding RNA is filed under the name Struthio camelus australis. RNAcentral describes it as "lncRNA (ENSSCUG00000015486.1)". The record is from RNAcentral. Lineage: Eukaryota; Metazoa; Chordata; Aves; Struthioniformes; Struthionidae.